This 794-nucleotide long non-coding RNA is filed under the name Androctonus crassicauda. Lineage: Eukaryota; Metazoa; Arthropoda; Arachnida; Scorpiones; Buthidae. The record is from RNAcentral.
UUUAAAUUAAUUCUUUUUAUAUAUAAAUAAUCUCUCUAUAUAAAAUAGUAACGAUACAUAUAUUUAUGUCUUUCCAUUCAAAUUUUUAUACUUCUUUGCCAUCUAGAAAGUUGAAAAUAUUUGGGAUGUUACAGAAUGACUAUUGAAUUGACUUGCAAAAAUCAGGCAACCAAGAAUGCCACCCAAAGCCUUAGAAAAGGAAAAGCUAAAUAUUUUAUGUUUACAUUGUAGAAUUUUUAAAAAUCAUUAUUUUACAAUUGAAUAUUUUGUUUUAAGAAAAAUAUUUAUUUAUCAGUUGAAAAAAAUUAAACUCGGAAGAAUAAACAUUAAAAUAUUGGAAAAUUAUGUGUCAAAUUAUAUUGGUAUCUUUCAAAUUCAACAGAUUUUUAAUAUUAAUUAUUUUGAUAAAAAUUGAUUAUGAAUCUAAUGAUAGUUUUUAAAUUUUGAAAGAAUGGAUCCAACAUGGUGGUCUGAAAUUUACUAGAUUUUUUUCUUUUAAUUCUGUCUUAUUUUAUUAAUGGAUGUUACUGUUGAAGCAUUUUAAAUCUGAUCUGAGGAUCAGAUAUCAUUAGGUGGUGAUAAAUGAUAGUUUAUCAUCUAGAGUGGUGGUGAACAACCUAGAGGAUCUACUUAUUUACCACUAUGCUAGGUAUCAAAUCAAGUGGUGGUAAUUCUCUUGGUGGUAAGUGGUGAUAAAUGGAGAGUGCUUACAUUUCUGAAAUUCAUUGAAAAAACAAUAAUCAAAGCUAAUGGUUAACAGUUCUUUAAGGAUCUGGAAACAUAUAUGUUUAAAG